GGCGCUUUGGCGGAGUGGUUAACGCGCGGGCCUGCUAAGCCCGUUCCUUCGGGAGCGUGUGUUCGAAUCACACAGGCGUCG
RNAcentral lists this transfer RNA (81 nucleotides) under Cephalotrichum gorgonifer. RNAcentral's name for it is "transfer RNA-Ser(GCT)". It matches the Rfam family "tRNA". From Rfam's summary of the family: Transfer RNA (tRNA) molecules are approximately 80 nucleotides in length. Their secondary structure includes four short double-helical elements and three loops (D, anti-codon, and T loops). The record is from RNAcentral. Lineage: Eukaryota; Fungi; Ascomycota; Sordariomycetes; Microascales; Microascaceae.